GGGGAGAACGGAGUGUCUGGGUCAUGGAAACAGAUCCUCACACCACGGUGCUUUGCACAGACACUGCCAUAAAACAAUACCUUUAGUUACUGUUUACAACUGUUCGUUUGCUUGAAGCUUACGCUAUCAGAAGGCUACUCCAGACUGUGACUUGUACAAAGAUUGUGGAGAUGAGGGCAGUGAAUGAGCAGCUGCAUGGUACCUAAUGUGUCUGGGGUUAAACCACAACAGAACUAUGAAUAAUUCACCCUUAAGCUGCCAGCCCAGAUCCACCUGAGCCACUUCAACCCUAGCAGCCUGAUCCACCUUCUGGAUCUUGUUUUGUUCUCCAGUAUCCUGGGUUAACCCACAACAAUGAUCUUAAAACAGUAUGUCCUGAGUUACCACAUCAGUCAGAAGUGUACCUUUCUUUUUCUGUACUGGCAUCUCUAAGGCAAUGUGGACGAGUCUGCACAAGAUAUGGUUCUCCAAACUUCCAGGAGCCAUAGUGUCCAGAAUGGGUCCUUCAUGGAGAUUUGGUCUUCCCAGCCUCACACACCUCAGAUAAACUGGAGCAGCAGUAAAAGAGACUGACAAGAAGCUACAGAAACCACAUGGACACCUAGAAACAAGUGCUGAUGCUGAGGUUUUCUGAAAAGAAGUUUAUGGCCUCUAGAAGAUCUCUGCCAAUAAAUUUUAAGUGACAAGGUACAAGGGCUAUGUCUUUGGCCUUUUUCACAGAUAGAACAGG
This is a long non-coding RNA of Poecile atricapillus (Black-capped chickadee), 730 nucleotides long. RefSeq lists it as uncharacterized. Lineage: Eukaryota; Metazoa; Chordata; Aves; Passeriformes; Paridae. The record is from RefSeq and is a predicted model, not a curated record. The transcript is spliced from 5 exons.